This 253-nucleotide ribosomal RNA is filed under the name uncultured bacterium. RNAcentral describes it as "partial 16S ribosomal RNA". It matches the Rfam family "Bacterial small subunit ribosomal RNA", at positions 524 to 776 of the family's 1533-position model. The record is from RNAcentral.
UACGUAGGUGGCAAGCGUUGUCCGGAUUCAUUGGGCGUAAAGGGUGCGUAGGCGGCGCGGUAAGUCGGGUGUGAAAUCUCGGAGCUUAACUCCGAAACUGCAUUCGAUACUGCCGUGCUUGAGGACUGGAGAGGAGACUGGAAUUUACGGUGUAGCGGUGAAAUGCGUAGAUAUCGUAAGGAAGACCAGUGGCGAAGGCGGGUCUCUGGACAGUUCCUGACGCUGAGGCACGAAGGCCAGGGGAGCAAACGGG